CUUUAGAUGUAGUCUAAAUACUGUAAUUUCUGAGUUACUAACAUAGCAUUUAUCCAAUCCUACUAAGAAACUUAUAAAACAAAACAGUGUUUGUUUCUUAAAUGUUUAUUUUAUAUCGAUGACACGGAUACAUUUAUCAGUGUAUGAUUACACAAAGGAUCUUGCUAGAAACAUGCAUCGGAUCUUGUUAAUACCACCUGUGGGGAAAAACCGUGUGAAUGAUCAAGAAGGAUAUUUGACAUGUUUGUCCAUCUGUCACGUGCAUCAACCACAUUAUAUUAGUAUAUAUAUUUAUCUUUAUAUCAUAUUGGAAUCAAUCAUCUAACAAACAAACCGCUCGUUUUCGACAUAUACCUCUGUUACAACAAUGGUGAAUUGGAAAAUUGAUAAUGGCAAACUGAAUAUCCAAGGGAUUGAAGAUUUUGAAGAACAAAUUGAGUAUGCUAAAAGCUCCUUGCAGUAUAAGAAGAUCGAGAAAUCUUGUAAACGGAAUGAGAAAACUAUAGCAGAAAAAGAUAUCAUGAUCAAGAACUUGGAGGAUUUCGGAGCGAACGAAAAGUAAUACGCUUCUGGAAACCGGAAAAGG
Long non-coding RNA from Mytilus trossulus (common blue mussel), 586 nucleotides. RefSeq lists it as uncharacterized. The transcript is spliced from 3 exons. NCBI's taxonomy places the organism in Eukaryota, Metazoa, Mollusca, Bivalvia, Mytilida, Mytilidae. The record is from RefSeq and is a predicted model, not a curated record.